RNAcentral lists this transfer RNA (66 nucleotides) under Lycodonomorphus inornatus (black house snake). Its description in RNAcentral is "tRNA-His". Lineage: Eukaryota; Metazoa; Chordata; Lepidosauria; Squamata; Lamprophiidae. The record is from RNAcentral.
UGUGCGUAAUUUAAAAAAAAUAUCAGGCUGUGACCCUGACAAUAGGACACUCAUCCUCACACACCA